This is a microRNA precursor of Gallus gallus (chicken), 69 nucleotides long. NCBI's taxonomy places the organism in Eukaryota, Metazoa, Chordata, Aves, Galliformes, Phasianidae. The record is from Ensembl.
AGCGCGGGGCGGGCGGGCGGCUGGCUGAGGGCGGAGGGGCAGCUGACCGAGCCGCCCCGCCCCGGUCCU